RNAcentral lists this unclassified non-coding RNA (335 nucleotides) under soil metagenome. Its description in RNAcentral is "partial contains 5.8S ribosomal RNA, internal transcribed spacer 2, and large subunit ribosomal RNA". The stretch from base 1 to 119 matches the Rfam family "5.8S ribosomal RNA", at positions 35 to 154 of the family's 154-position model. The record is from RNAcentral.
GAUGAAGAACGUAGCGAAAUGCGAUAAGUAAUGCGAAUUGCAGAAUCCGUGAGUCAUCGAAUCUUUGAACGCACAUUGCGCCCGCCAGUAUUCUGGCGGGCAUGCCUGUUCGAGCGUCAUUUCAACCAUCAAGCCCCCGGCUUGUGUUGGGGACCUGCGGCUGCCGCAGGCCCUGAAAAGCAGUGGCGGGCUCGCUGUCACACCGAGCGUAGUAGCAUACAUCUCGCUCUGGGCGUGCUGCGGGUUCCGGCCGUUAAACCACCUUCAUAACCCAAGGUUGACCUCGGAUCAGGUAGGAAGACCCGCUGAACUUAAGCAUAUCAAUAAGCGGAGGA